RNAcentral lists this unclassified non-coding RNA (249 nucleotides) under Hevea brasiliensis (rubber tree). The record is from RNAcentral. Lineage: Eukaryota; Viridiplantae; Streptophyta; Magnoliopsida; Malpighiales; Euphorbiaceae.
GCAUGACGUUCGUUGACGGCAGCGCGUUCGGCAUGACGUCGAAUGCGCGCAUGGUGCUCAACGAGAUGAUCUUCGAUCCGAACGGAUCGUCGAACUCAUCGCUGAUCAGCCUGGUUCAGGGCACCAUUACAUUCGUUGCGGGACAGACCGCCAAGAACGGCAACAUGCGCGUCGAGACGCCGGUUGCCACCAUGGGUAUUCGCGGCACCGCGGUGCUGGGGGAAAUCGGCGCGAACGACGGACCGACAA